Molecule: ribosomal RNA, 831 nt
Filed under: uncultured Sphingobacteriia bacterium
Lineage: Bacteria; Pseudomonadati; Bacteroidota; Sphingobacteriia
Description: bacterial SSU rRNA
Rfam family: Bacterial small subunit ribosomal RNA
Source: RNAcentral
AUUGGAGAGCUUGCUUUCCAUGAGAGUGGCGCACGGGUGCGUAACACGUAUGUAACCUACCCUUAUCAGGGGGAUAGCCUCUCGAAAGAGAGAUUAAGCCCGCAUAACAUCACGAUAUAGCAUUAUAAUGUGAUCAAAUAUUUAUAGGAUAAGGAUGGGCAUGCGGAACAUUAGCUAGUUGGUAAGGUAACGGCUUACCAAGGCUACGAUGUUUAGGGGAUCUGAGAGGAUGACCCCCCACACUGGUACUGAGACACGGACCAGACUCCUACGGGAGGCAGCAGUAAGGAAUAUUGGUCAAUGGGCGGAAGCCUGAACCAGCCAUGCCGCGUGCAGGAAGACGGCCCUACGGGUUGUAAACUGCUUUUGCAGGGGAAUAAACCUCAUUACGAGUAAUGAGCUGAAUGUACUCUGAGAAUAAGGAUCGGCUAACUCCGUGCCAGCAGCCGCGGUAAUACGGAGGAUCCAAGCGUUAUCCGGAUUUAUUGGGUUUAAAGGGUGCGUAGGCGGCCUGUUAAGUCAGGGGUGAAAGACGGUAGCUUAACUAUCGCAGUGCCCUUGAUACUGAUGGGCUUGAAUGUACUAGAGGUAGGCGGAAUGUGACAAGUAGCGGUGAAAUGCAUAGAUAUGUCACAGAACACCAAUUGCGAAGGCAGCUUACUAUGGUAUGAUUGACGCUGAGGCACGAAAGCGUGGGGAUCAAACAGGAUUAGAUACCCUGGUAGUCCACGCCCUAAACGAUGAAUACUCGAUGUUAGCGAUAUACAGUUAGCGUCAAAGCGAAAGCGUUAAGUAUUCCACCUGGGGAGUACGCCCGCAAGGGUGAAACUC